UACGUAGGGUGCGAGCGUUGUCCGGAAUUAUUGGGCGUAAAGAGCUCGUAGGCGGUGUGUCACGUCGGCCGUGAAAACCUGCAGCUUAACUGUGGGCGUGCGGUCGGUACGUCGAUCACUGGAGUUCGGCAGGGGAGACUGGAAUUCCUGGUGUAGCGGUGAAAUGCGCAGAUAUCAGGAGGAACACCGGUGGCGAAGGCGGAUCUCUGGGCCUGUCCUGACGCUCAGGCGCGAAAGCUAGGGGAGCAAACAGG
This 254-nucleotide ribosomal RNA is filed under the name uncultured bacterium. Its description in RNAcentral is "partial 16S ribosomal RNA". It matches the Rfam family "Bacterial small subunit ribosomal RNA", at positions 524 to 776 of the family's 1533-position model. The record is from RNAcentral.